Suricata suricatta (meerkat) is the source of this 3033-nucleotide long non-coding RNA. RefSeq lists it as uncharacterized. The transcript has 3 exons. The record is from RefSeq and is a predicted model, not a curated record. NCBI's taxonomy places the organism in Eukaryota, Metazoa, Chordata, Mammalia, Carnivora, Herpestidae.
UAAUAAAAACUACAAAAGUGAAAAUUCCCUUGGCGAUGCUCUAACCUAUAUAAAGAAAAGCAUGAAACAAUAUUUUCAGAAUUAAAGUCAAGAAAAUGCGUUCUCUUCUUAAAAGUCCUUGUAAGAUGGCUAAUGGCUUUUCUCAUCAUGCUUCAUGCACUCAUCAUAAAGAGCCUGAAACAGAAGGAUGAACUGGUAAGAGUGACAAGUCAACAGUAUUACCUGAACAUUGUUCUGAGUUGCUGCUAAAGACAUAAAUGCCCUUCCACACAGAGAGGGUGAAAAAGAACAAGAUAGAAAUCACGAUCCGGCAGCUGAAGAAAGAUCAGGAUGACAGUGUCAUGAAAAUCACCAAGCAGAGUUUCCAGGACAACAUCUGCACUGUGGGCUGCUAAGGGAAAGUGAAGAUUUAGAGUCAACCACCAAAUGCUGUGAUGCUGGAGACUCAGUAUGGCUGCUCAGGCUCAAGGCAUUAUCGAUGGUGUCAGAUGCAUCAAAAAAGCAGAAGUGCCCUUUCAGCUCUUCUCGGUGCCAUUCCUUGUCAAUUUCAUGCUGCCUACAGCAACAACAUAAUACUAAAAACAGCAAUGAUGUCACUGGAAGUGCUCUGUGAUUGACAAAGAAGAACGGUAAUAGUCAGAGGUGACUCCUCAGAGAAUUCAGAACUCACUCGAUGUCAUCCAGGGGCUCAUCCCCUGAUUGGAAAGAGGGAUGAAGUGUUCUCUGCAUGAAAAAGCAUAGAUGAGAAGUGAUGUAGAUACAGAAGAUUGGUCAGUUACUCUAGAGGUACUUAGACGCAGGACAGGCUGAACAUGGAAAACUUGGUUAGGUUCUCCGUAACAAGCUUGGGGCCCCCAGAAAUGUAACGACAGUAAAGCACAUUCCUUAACUCUCACACUUGUUGAAAUGAGGAGAAGGUGGCAUUUGUUUGGAAAUCCCUCCCCAGUCUUUGUUCCCAGAACCCAGCAUUCGUUUUCCUGUGCCUACAUACGUAGCUCCUCAGAUAAACAUUACUACUGCAACAAAUCGUAGAGUGCCAGGCCUCAGCAGAUGGUUACAUUGAAUUAAAAAUAUAUGCAGAAAUAAGUUCUAAAGUGAAAAUGGAUAAAGAUAUAACUCUCACUAAUUCCCAAAAUUGCCUUCUAUUACAGCGAUGCUGCUACAAAUACCGCCCGAAUCUUUGUUCCCGGCGUUGUCCUCUUUUGAAAGCCUCUGUACUUCUUCUCUAUUCAUAAAAGGACCAGCUAAAGUCACACAUCCUUCAUGAAUGCUCUCUUGACAAUUCACACGUAGCGAUCCCUUCCUUCCUGGAAAUCCUACUGCUUGCCUUUUAUUUGCCCUUUAAUCAUGACUGUCCUUUCCUAUCAAGUUUAGAAAUCUCUUUUCUUCUCAAAGAGAAGAGGCAAGUUAAAAAUUCUGCCCUCUGCUGAGCCCCCACGAUAUGGACAAGGUAGGGAGAAGAACAGGAGUCUGCAGACCGGGAUGGAUUGCACACAAUUAUAAACUGUAGCCUAAGCCAAGUCUAAUUAGAGGAAGUUUCUUUCAGGAAGAAACUGUUCCUCCCAAUUUUCUUCUUUCUUUUCACAUGACAUUUCUUUUCCUUUCAUGGGAGAUAGGAUAGUCUAAUGGAAUUAAACCAUUUAGAUGUAAUUCCAAUUCUAGUUGAUGUUAACCAUAUGGCGCUGGGGAAUUUACUCACUUCCCUCAUGCCUCAGUUUCCGCAACUGUAAAAUGGACUUAAUAAAAAUCGUUGCCUUUUGCAUCGCUCUGAGUACUAAUUAAACUAACAUAUAUAAAGUGCUUUGAACAAUACCCAAAAUACAGUGAGUGCUUAAUAAAUGAGGGCUAUUAUUUCAUUAUGAUUAAAUUGUUUCUUAUUAGCUUAGUAUUGAAUUACAUUCCCCUCUGGUUUCUCUCUCAGUAGAGGUCACUUGUUUGAAAGCACAGUACACCUGCCUGCAGACCAGUGACCUACUGCCCAGAGCCUCAGGCUGGAUGUGGGGGAAGCUGAUCCCUCACUCACUGAUCAGCACACCAGCCCAGGAGUCUUUGGGAUAAUCACUGAUAUUUCUUCACGGCCUUUGGCAGAUGAUGACGAGCACACCAAAUAUGUGGUCUUCCAUCCACAGUACACAUUUAUUGCUGGGAAGUGGUUUCUCCCAGAGACUGUACUUGCCAGGCCUCUUCCCUUGUUUUCAAAUGGUGAGCCCCAUUCUGGCAAAUGGGAUAUAAGCAGAAGUGACAUGUGUCACCUCUAGUCCAAGCAUGCUCUUCCUCUUCUUCAUUCUCCACUCUCUGACUUGAUGCAGAUGCACACAGUGACCUCAGCAGCCACUUGUUAAAGACACUGGGUCCAUCUGGUGGGAAUUUUCUAGGAGUCCUGAUGUACUGACUGCAGGAAAGCAGCCUGCAAUCACCAGUGCCUGUGCUGGGCUUCACGAGAGUGGGCAGUGAAAUUCUGUUCUGUGGUCCAUUAUCUGGUGUUGGGUGUAUUUGUUCCAGUAGCUGGUGUUAUGCUAAGUAAUAUGUUGCCCAUCAGUAAAUUGGAGAGAAGCCUUCCCAUUUUACCAAAAAUUAAGUAUUAAUUCAAAAUAUCAAAGUUUCAGAAAGUACCCAGUAAAUAGAUGUGGUAAUAUUUUCCUGCUUACUUGGUACUUACAUUCUAAGAAAAUAGUGUUAAACUUGCAUAAUAGCUCACCAUUGCUUCUUGACUCAUCCAUAAACUGAAAUGCUCUGAAAUGCUCUGGGUUCCAAAGUAAGUGAGUUGCAGCAGAGUCUGUCUUAGGCUCUUGAAAGAUGCUUAUUAAGAGGCAGGUUUGAGGGAAAGGAAGGCUUAGGGAGAGACCAUCUUUUGUCAUCAUGACAAACACCGAAAGAGUUUUAAGUAAAGAGUUGAGCAAGGCCAGUUUACCAUUGAGUUAAGUUCCCAGAGCUUUAAUGAAUUUUUGUCAAAUGCACUUAAAUGGUUUUGUAGUACUGUGAUCCAAAUAAAUAUCCUUGAUUUUGCUGUUGUCUCUGCUUUUAAGCACACAA